RNAcentral lists this ribosomal RNA (449 nucleotides) under uncultured bacterium. RNAcentral's name for it is "partial 16S ribosomal RNA". It matches the Rfam family "Bacterial small subunit ribosomal RNA", at positions 29 to 523 of the family's 1533-position model. The record is from RNAcentral.
AAUGAACGCUGGCGGCAGGCCUAACACAUACAAGUCGAACGGAUCCUUCGGGAUUAGUGGCGGACGGGUGAGUAACGCGUGGGAACAUACCCUUUGGUACGGAAUAGCCUCGGGAAACUGGGAGUAAUACCGUAUGUGGUCGAGAGACGAAAGAUUUAUCGCCAAAGGAUUGGCCCGCGUUGGAUUAGGUAGUUGGUGGGGUAAUGGCCUACCAAGCCGACGCUCCAUAGCUGGUUUGAGAGGAUGAUCAGCCACACUGGGACUGAGACACGGCCCAGACUCCUACGGGAGGCAGCAGUGGGGAAUCUUAGACAAUGGGGGAAACCCUGAUCUAGCCAUGCCGCGUGCUCGAUGAAGGCCUUAGGGUUGUAAAGAUCCUUCAGGUGGGAAGAUAAUGACUGUACCACCAGAAGAAGCCCCGGCUAACUCCGUGCCAGCAGCCGCAGUAA